Molecule: transfer RNA, 68 nt
Filed under: Aeromonas hydrophila
Lineage: Bacteria; Pseudomonadati; Pseudomonadota; Gammaproteobacteria; Aeromonadales; Aeromonadaceae
Description: tRNA-Leu
Source: RNAcentral
AGGGUGUCCAACGGUUUCAAAAUCCGCCGUUGCAAAACGUGUCGGUUCGAGUCCGACCCCGGGCACCA